UUCACUUCUGACAGCAGUUAUUACGUUUUUAAUUUAUGGCUGGUAUUAUGUUCGCUUUUCAGAGUUGAAAACCUUUGCCACUGCCUUAUAUAUCUCUUGCUGGCCACAUCGAUAUUUCGAGAAUACCCAAACUCUUCUAUUGAUAUCUGCUUAAGCUGACCAGUUUUGACAAAAACACAUACAUAACAUUAUACUUGACAGGCAAACGCAUACACUUACAUUUAUUGAACAAGCAGGUGGGGCCAAACGAAAGUAACACACACAUUAUAACGAAUAAAAGAAUAACAACAAAGAUCAAUUAAGAAAUUAUAGGAAAUACUAUUGAAAAUUUCAAUCACGAGGUUACAAAAUGUUCGUGAUAUUUUUUUGAAGAAACCAUUCAAAGUAAUACUGCCAGAUAGACAUCAACAAAUCCUCAAGAAUCAACAUCGGAGUACCUCCACAGAUAUAUGGAUAUAAAGUUAGCUUUGCUGAGAAUCCAUCAACAUAUAAAUUACAUUACAUGUCCUGAUAUUGAUAAAUGGUUGGAAGCAAUGCAUGAGGAGAUGUAUCAAUGCAUGAAAACCAUUUUUAUAAUUUAAGCGAGAUACGAUAAACGAAAGAAUUUGUUGAGCCAAGAACAGAAAAUUUGGUCUGUAAAUUGAAGAAAAGUAUACGUGGCCUUAAGCAAUCGACUCGCUGUUGAAAUCUUCGUAUUAACGACGUAUUAAUUAAUGCUGGAUUCAGAAGGGGAGAAGCCGAUCCAUGUCCUUAUGUCAAAGGAGACAAACAGUCCACCAUUUAUGUAUUAAUUUAUGCUAAUAAUAGCGAGAUAAGAAAUGUAACCUAGACACUCAAGCAUAAUUUUGAAAUUACCGAAUUGGGUGAUUUGAAACUGUAUUUGGGAAUAGAGAUUCAAAGUGAUAAUGAUGAAAAAUUUUAUCUAUCUCAAGAAAGUUAUAUUAAGAAAAUUUUGAAUGAAUUUAAGCUUUCGGAUGUCAAGCCCUCUUGAUCACGGAUAUUUGAAGGAUGUUGCCGAGCAAAAAUUGUUAACUGACAAUCACUUGUAUAAAUAAUCAAUUGGAUCGUUAUUGGCUGUCUCAAUUCUGUCUAAGAAAGCUAGCAGCCCAAGUUGAGGAGAUGGGUCUGAAGUAAAGCGAAUUUUGAAAUAUCAAAAACGAAGUAUCAAUCUUAAGUUAUGUAUCGGUUUCAAGACUUCGUUAGAUUUGUAAAGCCCGGGUGAGCGAUGUUUGAUUAAUAAAAAUGAAUGAAUGAAUGAGA
Molecule: long non-coding RNA, 1260 nt
Organism: Stomoxys calcitrans (stable fly)
Lineage: Eukaryota; Metazoa; Arthropoda; Insecta; Diptera; Muscidae
Exons: 2
Source: RefSeq, a predicted model, not a curated record